RNAcentral lists this unclassified non-coding RNA (1953 nucleotides) under Hevea brasiliensis (rubber tree). The record is from RNAcentral. Lineage: Eukaryota; Viridiplantae; Streptophyta; Magnoliopsida; Malpighiales; Euphorbiaceae.
AAAAGGCUUAGAAUUAGAGCAUUUUCAUUACUAGUGUGUGCCUCUACCCCUACAAUGAAGGGUUUAAGGCUUUGAUUUUUCUCUCCCAUCCAUUCCAAGCCGCGCAAAUCAAUUCCAAUACUUCAGUUAGGGUUAGGGUUUAACAAUUUCAGAGACAUGUAUGCUGAUCGUGUGGAGGCUGCAGGGAAGAGGUCAGUGAAGGAGCGUCUUGAUGGUAAUUCUACUGAAGAUUUUACUCGCCGGUGGCAAAUUACUGGAAAGAGGCAGAGGGAAGAUGAUAAGUGGGAACAUGAUCUCUAUGAGGAGGAUGAACCACGCUCUUCAAGUAUGGAUUGACUGUGACAAAAUCACAGGCAACUAAAAAUUGAUGCUAUUGUUGGAUGCAACUAAAUCAACUAUAUUUGGUUUUUGACUUUUUGUUAAUGGCUUGUGAAGAUCGCAAAGUCAGUUCUCAAGAUCUUCGACUGAAGCUUCAAAAGAAGACUCUUCCACAAUCAUCACAAAUUGGAAAGGGGUCAGGCAUGCGGGAUUUACGUGAAAAGCUAUCUGGGACUAUGAAUUCACAACCAGUGAAUGCUGAUCCACCUAGAAGGAAACUGGAGGCUGCUAAACUAGCUAGGAGAAGUGUUGCAGUUGAAGCUUCCGAGCCAGAGAUUAAAAAGGUUGCUAGGGUGGCUCCUAGAAAAAUGUCUCAGCAAAAGGCAGAUACUUCAAUAGAAGGUUUUCUGCAAUCAAUAGGCCUUGAAAAAUAUCUCAUUACUUUUCAAGCUGAGGAAGUUGAUAUGACAGCUCUAGUUCACAUGAAUGAUGAGGAUCUCAAGGCUAUAGGAAUACCAAUGGGCCCAAGAAAGAAGAUAAUUUUGGCAUUGGAAUCUAGGGGCUGAUAUUGGGAAGGGAAGUGCAUACUUGCAUGUAUUAUGGUUUGACAGUCCAGUUAGCAGGGCUGUGUUGUGGUUGAUAUAUGCCUGGAUGUAACAUUUUUCCCUGUUGGUUUUUCUCUUUGGUUCAUUGCUGAAAGUGGCCUAACUGGCUCAUUAUAGAUAUGAAACCUUUGAAUUUUUAACUUGCGCCAACCAUAGGUUCUUCUUCUUUGUCUCUAUUUUUUUUAUUAGUAGUAGGAACUUUUUAGAUCAAUGAAAUUCUAUGUUCUAUUUGCUAUUUUUGGGUACUUCCAGGGUAUUUAGUAUGAACUCAUAGUCUGGUUAUGAAAUAGCUAGAGGAGAGUUGAAUUCAAUUUAAAUCGAAAUAAUUGAUCUAAUUGAAAUAAAUAAGAAAUUCAAUUUGAUUUUAAUUUUUGAAAAAUCGAUUUAAUUAGCUUGACUUAAUUUUUGUAAAAUUUUUGGUAAAAUCAUACUGAAUUCAAUGUUGUGCGUUUUGUAAGUUAGGGCUACUGCUUUGCUUUAUGUUCCUUUCCUCUCAAUUCUUUCCCAGUGUCUCCUCUCAAUGAGAUUUAUUUUUUAUGUUCUCUUUCCUUUCUCAAGUUUUCGAUUUUUCCCUUUAUUUUCUUCCCAUCAGAGCAAUACUGCCAGAAAACAGGUAGGAGAUCUGGUGCACUUAGACCAGCCCACCAUCACGGCAUUGCCUCGCUCGCAACUCCUCAGCCUGGCUAGUCGCAGCGUUACCAGCGACCAUAACCCACCUUCACGGCGUCGCUUCACCUGCAAUCCCUAACUCUCGCUAGUCGUGGCAUCGCCUGCUACCCUGGCUCACCAUUGCAGCAUCAACAAGUCUCCAACCUCUUAACCUCUCUACUCACCAUAUGUUCCUCUCCUCUCUCCUCGUGUCCUCAAUGAAAUAGCUUCAUUCUCUGCCUUUCCAUCACAAUCAUUGCCUGUAAAUUUGGUAUUGGUGAAAUAUAUUUUUGAUUGUGAAUUUUUUAUUGAUUGGUUGUGUAUUGAUGAAUUGUUGAAUUUUUUGUUGAUUGCCCUAGUCAGUUGUUGAAAAUGUUGCUUA